RNAcentral lists this long non-coding RNA (355 nucleotides) under Homo sapiens (human). Its description in RNAcentral is "non-protein coding lnc-FAHD2A-2:1". The record is from RNAcentral. Lineage: Eukaryota; Metazoa; Chordata; Mammalia; Primates; Hominidae.
CUCAUUCUUAUGGUUUUCAUUGAAAUGUGCCUGUGGAAGAAUCACCAGCAGAGUAUCAUAGAGAAAUAUGACCCUCCAGGAUACCUCUAACAAGGAUCAGAUAGUAAUGGGCAGAUGAUGUAAUGCACCACUCUCUCAGGAGCAAAUGAGAUAAAUGGAAAUGUUCAUGGAGGCUUACUGAGCAAUGGAGGUUUCAGCAGUGGCUGUUCCCACCUUCACCAUAAGGUCUGUCCUCAGUGUAGUUGUGAAUGGAGUCAGUGUAGUUGUGUGGAGUCAGUGUAGUUGUGAAUGGGAGCUUAAAUGGAGGGCUUUACUCUGGGCACACCAACUCUCUUACAGCAAUGGGGAUGGAGCU